This 499-nucleotide ribosomal RNA is filed under the name uncultured Glomeromycotina. RNAcentral describes it as "partial small subunit ribosomal RNA". It matches the Rfam family "Eukaryotic small subunit ribosomal RNA", at positions 591 to 1092 of the family's 1831-position model. The record is from RNAcentral. Lineage: Eukaryota; Fungi; Glomeromycota.
CCAAUAGCGUAUAUUAAAGUUGUUGCAGUUAAAAAGCUCGUAGUUGAAUUUCGGGAUCAAUUUACUGGUCGUGCAAUAGUACGUACUGGUUUUAUUGGUUUCUACCUUCUGAUGAACCAUGAUGCCAUUAAUUUGGUGUCAUGGGGAAUCAGGACUGUUACUUUGAAAAAAUUGGAGUGUUUAAAGCAGGCUCACGCUUGAAUACAUUAGCAUGGAAUAAUGAAAUAGGACGUUUGAUUCUAUUUUGUUGGUUUCUAGGAUCGACGUAAUGAUUAAUAGGGAUAGUUGGGGGCAUUAGUAUUCAAUUGUCAGAGGUGAAAUUCUUGGAUUUAUUGAAGACUAACUACUGCGAAAGCAUUUGCCAAGGAUGUUUUCAUUAAUCAAGAACGAAAGUUAGGGGAUCGAAGACGAUCAGAUACCGUCGUAGUCUUAACCAUAAACUAUGCCGACUAGGGAUCGGAUGAUGUUAAUUUUUUAAUGACUCAUUCGGCGCCUUACG